UAGAAGAUAGUAUAAAGGUAGUACAGAGAGUUUUGGGGUCUUAGGUUCAGGUUCAAUUCCUGUUCUUCUAA
This 71-nucleotide transfer RNA is filed under the name Eremias scripta (Sand racerunner). RNAcentral's name for it is "tRNA-Gln". It matches the Rfam family "tRNA". Rfam says of the family: Transfer RNA (tRNA) molecules are approximately 80 nucleotides in length. The record is from RNAcentral. Lineage: Eukaryota; Metazoa; Chordata; Lepidosauria; Squamata; Lacertidae. RNAcentral also lists the same sequence under 1 other name.